Molecule: ribosomal RNA, 267 nt
Filed under: uncultured bacterium
Lineage: Bacteria
Description: partial 16S ribosomal RNA
Rfam family: Bacterial small subunit ribosomal RNA
Source: RNAcentral
AUUAGGUGGGCGGGACGGGUGAGUAACGCGUGGAUAACCUGCCGUAUACAGGGGGAUAACACUUAGAAAUAGGUGCUAAUACCGCAUAAGCGCACGGUUCCGCAUGGAACAGUGUGAAAAAACUCCGGUGGUAUACGAUGGAUCCGCGUCUGAUUAGCCAGUUGGCGGGGUAACGGCCCACCAAAGCGACGAUCAGUAGCCGGCCUGAGAGGGUGAACGGCCACAUUGGGACUGAGACACGGCCCAAACUCCUACGGAAGGCAGCAG